GAUGAACGCUGGCGGCGUGCCUAAUACAUGCAAGUCGAGCGAACGGAUAAGGAGCUUGCUCCUUUGAAGUUAGCGGCGGACGGGUGAGUAACACGUGGGUAACCUACCUAUAAGACUGGAAUAACUUCGGGAAACCGGAGCUAAUGCCGGAUAACAUUUGGAACCGCAUGGUUCUAAAGUAAAAGAUGGUUUUGCUAUCACUUAUAGAUGGACCCGCGCCGUAUUAGCUAGUUGGUAAGGUAACGGCCCACCAAGGCAAUGAUGGGUAGCCGGCCUGAGAGGGUGAACGGCCACAAGGGGACUGAGACACGGCCCUU
Molecule: ribosomal RNA, 317 nt
Filed under: uncultured bacterium
Lineage: Bacteria
Description: bacterial SSU rRNA
Rfam family: Bacterial small subunit ribosomal RNA
Source: RNAcentral